Molecule: ribosomal RNA, 891 nt
Filed under: Verrucomicrobia bacterium SCGC AAA007-E20
Lineage: Bacteria; Pseudomonadati; Verrucomicrobiota
Description: SSU rRNA
Rfam family: Bacterial small subunit ribosomal RNA
Source: RNAcentral
CGACGCUGGCGGCGUGGAUAAGACAUGCAAGUCGAACGAGAUCUCUGAAUAGCUUGCUAAUCGGAGUGACAGUGGCGGACGGGUGCGUAACACGUGAGCAACCUGCCCUGAAGUGGGGGAUAGCCUUCCGAAAGGAAGAUUAAUACCGCAUGUGGUCUUCGGAUCAAAGGUGGCUUCGGCUACCGCUUUGGGAUGGGCUCGCGGCCUAUCAGCUUGUUGGUGAGGUAACGGCUCACCAAGGCGACGACGGGUAGCUGGUCUGAGAGGACGAUCAGCCUCACUGGAACUGAGACACGGUCCAGACACCUACGGGUGGCAGCAGUCGAGAAUCAUUCACAAUGGGGGAAACCCUGAUGGUGCAACGCCGCGUGGAGGAUGACGGUCUUCGGAUUGUAAACUCCUGUCAUCUGGGAGUAAGCCUUGUUCGUUAAUAGCGUGCAAGGUUGAUAGUACCAGAAGAGGAAGGGACGGCUAACUUCGUGCCAGCAGCCGCGGUAAUACGAAGGUCCCAAGCGUUGUUCGGAAUCACUGGGCGUAAAGCGUGCGUAGGCGGCGCGGAAAGUCAGAUGUGAAAUCUCUGGGCUCAACCCGGAAACUGCAUCCGAUACUCCCGUGCUAGAGUAAUGGAGGGGUAGCUGGAAUUCUCGGUGUAGCAGUGAAAUGCGUAGAUAUCGAGAGGAACACUCGUGGCGAAGGCGAGCUACUGGACAUUUACUGACGCUGAGGCACGAAGGCCAGGGUAGCGAAAGGGAUUAGAUACCCCUGUAGUCCUGGCAGUAAACGGUGUGCGCUUGGUGUGGGAGGAUUCGACCCCUUCCGUGCCGGAGCUAACGCGUUAAGCGCACCGCCUGGGAAGUACGGCCGCAAGGCUAAAACUAUAAAGAGAAUUUC